This 951-nucleotide non-coding RNA is filed under the name Clonorchis sinensis. Its description in RNAcentral is "Eukaryotic large subunit ribosomal RNA". It matches the Rfam family "Eukaryotic large subunit ribosomal RNA", at positions 2389 to 3401 of the family's 3401-position model. Lineage: Eukaryota; Metazoa; Platyhelminthes; Trematoda; Opisthorchiida; Opisthorchiidae. The record is from Rfam by way of RNAcentral.
CGAUCCGUGCCGGAAGAAGCCAUAAUAAGUUUGAUGGAAGUUCCGCAAUGUUCGAGUUCACCCACCCAAGAGUUGGCAUCUUGCGAUUGUCAUUGUGGAGUAACUGAUAAUAUCGUUUUCCACAUCCUGGCCUGUCGCAGCGCUAAGGAGCUCAGCAUUUGUCUGCUCGGGCUUCAAGUAAUCAAAGCACAACUCAUGUCCUCGAGUUAAAGGCUGGUUUUUAUGUUACUGCGCCCUCACCGGUUAGACUACUGACGAGGCCGAUCGUGCGCGUUUUCAGCUGUAAUGCUGCUUUGCUGACAGCGUGCACGGGCGCUAACGCAGGUGCCCAGAUUGGACUUAAUCAGGUCGGAAAACUGGUGUAGAGUAAAAGGGCAAAAGCUUACUUGAUUUUUGUUUUCGGAGUUUUAAGUAGAAAAGUUACUUAGCUUGUGGUGACCGAGCGUUCAUAGCGGCCUCACUUCUUGAUCCAUCGAUGUCGGCUCUUCCUAGUGUUGUGACGCAGAAUUCACCAAGCGUUGGAUUGAUCACCCAAGAAUAGGGGACCCGAGCUGGGUUUACACCGGAUUGAGAUGGAUUACUUCCACUCUACUAAUCAGUACACUGUCAGUGCAGUACAAACUGGCCGUUGCUAUGGUAGUCCUGUUUAGUGUGAGGGGAACUGCAGUUUCAGACAUUUGGUAUACGUGCCUGGGCGAAAGGCCAAUGCUGCGAAGCUACUAUCUGAGGGAUUAGGACUGCACGCCUCUAAGUUUGUAUCCCGUCCAAAUGUGCUACGGUACAUUCUUUGCAAGGCUUACUUUUUUAAUUUGGCUCUUGGCCCAGGCUGUCUGGUCCGGCCUAUUUUGUAUGGUUUUAUGCCAAAGCGAUAAACGAAAUCGUGCCUCUAGGAGUACAACGAUACAAUGACUAGGUGCAACUGAGUAUGAUAGGUUCGUUUCCAGAAGUUUC